Molecule: long non-coding RNA, 586 nt
Organism: Raphanus sativus (radish)
Lineage: Eukaryota; Viridiplantae; Streptophyta; Magnoliopsida; Brassicales; Brassicaceae
Exons: 2
Source: RefSeq, a predicted model, not a curated record
AACAACUUUCAUCACUAUGUCUCCACUCCCUUACUUCUAUAUAACUCAUCUCAUUUGUCUCUAUAUGCUCCCACACUUUGUCUUCGAAAUCUCAAGUAGUUUAAGAAAGAACAAGACAUCAAUAUGAGCUUUCAUGCAAAAAGGUUAGUAAUUUUCACUGUUCUUAUUUUGGCUAUUACCUCCGCUGAUGUUUCAGACGCUACCCUUCGUCAUAUCAUGAACCUCAGAUCUAAUAAGGGUAUUAAGGAGGAUAAUGAAAUAAAGGAGAGGGAGCUUGUGGAGUUUCACCUUGACUACGCAAGAACUGGAGCCAAUCAAGAUCACGAACCAGGGAAAGGAAGACCUUAAUCCAACUUAAUUAUUCAUAACUAAAAUAAUGAGUUUCGUCAACUCUACUACUCUUACAAAUAAGCGUCUUACGUGUUAAGUAUCUCUAUAUAUAUACAUAAUAUGAUGUAAUAUAAUAGCCUACCUAAUAGGCCAAGCUUUUGGCAAGGUUAAAGUUGCAUGUAAGAAAACAUGUGUAUCAGUGUAUGCAUGCAUGCAUCCAUAAAUAAUAUAAGGGGAGUAAAGUUUAAUUCUUUCA